GUUUGCUUAGCACAUGUGAGGCACUGGGUUUGAUCCUCAGCACCACAUAAAAAUAGAUAAAUAAAAUAAAAAACUGUACUUUAAGAGUUUGAUGAUAUAGUUUAUUAAUGAUAUACAAAUAAUUAUUAUAACUUUUCUUCAUCCUUUUACAUUUCAGAGAAAACAUUUUGAAGAAAACUGGACACAGACUGAGCAAAACCAAACAGAAGAGCAAAAGAAAAAGAAACAAAAAGCAUAAUAUUCUUACUGAAAUUGUGGAUGAAAACUCAUUUGAAACCUUAAAUUAUCUUAAAAUAGGAGAUCAGGUCCCAAAUGAAGAGGAAGAUUUUGAAGAGAACGAAAGAGAAUCAGUGUGUCCCUUCACUGGUGGCCAUUUCGUGAAUGGCUAUAAAGAAAAAAGUCAGAAAAGCAUAGAUCCUGAAGACAAUUUUCCAAAUGUUAUAUCUAUAGUUGAGUUGGACAAGACACCAGAUAAUUACUUCCCUAAGGAAAAUGAUGACUUGUUUCUAACUUUGUCAUCAAUCCCAAAUGAAAGCUCUGUAACUUGUCCAACAGGGACUCAAAAUCUUUCCUAUGUAACAAGGGAUGACUCCUUGGGUAUGAAGAUAGAAAAGCAUGUUGGAAAUAGGCAAAACUUAUCAUUAGACACCCAGGAACUAUUUGCUGAUAAAACCCCAUGUUCAUUUAUGCAGAAAAGAGAGAUGGUAAAUAAAAGUCUCUCAAAUGAACCAAUUCUUUGCCAUCAACGUGGAUCCCGAACUUCAGAUAAUGUUUUAAGAGAGGAACAAGGAGUGCAUACAACUAAAAACAAUUAUUGGGCUUUUUUCACAACCAAUUCAUCUGAAGAAGAAUUACAACGAGGCUCUGAAAGACAAUCUUAUUUUGGUAGCUGGCCUGAGGGACCGCAUAAGUUUGUAUGUGAACAGAGACCAAAGAAAGAUAGAUCACGUAAACUGACCCAUCCUGACAGUGGAGAACAAUUGAUUAAAUUAAUCUCCACUUCUGAAGGAGUAUCAGGACCAGGAAGUGGUCCAGAAAUAUUGACAGAGGAGAAACUACUGAUAGAAAAUGAAGAUUUGUCACAUCCAACUGAAACUAUAGAUUCAUUCAUGAAAACAGACACAAAUAUCCUCAGCAGCUACUUAUCACAACUGGACAUCACCCAAAGUGCCUUACAAUCAACAACUAAUAAGAAAAGGAGAGAGAAUAGAAUUUUAAAUUUGGUACCAAACUUACUGGGACAGAGUCAUUUCAAUGCAAAAAAAGGGGAGAAAUGUGGCCUGUUACCUAAAAACUUUGGAUUGAACAUUAUUUGGGGAGAAAUAAAAGAUAGAAUUUCAGAAAUCAAUAACCAAGAAGAGAAUGAGCAAAAAGUUAUGAUCUUUGAUCAUCAUUCAUUGUGGUUUUACCCUGAUAUUAUCAAAGAUUCAUCUCUAAAUAUUGGUGGAAAUUUUUAUUCUCACUACUUGUCAUUUAGUAGACUAGGGUAUGCUCUGUAUUUUUACAGAAGCCCUAUUCCUUCUCUUGUAUUGCAUUAUAUAUCUAGCUUUUGGAUGGUAUCUUUUACCAACAAAAAAACGUUUUUGACUUUCAAAUCACAAACAAGAAUAGGCAAUAAGCUAAAAGAUGUAGGGUUUAUUUCUUCAGAAAUUUUAAUUAGGCAACCUGAUACUUUGUGCUCUUUGAGGGGUACCUCUGAAAGAUUUGGUGAAAAGCUGAAGAGAUGGGAAGAAUCUAAGCCAUUACAGUGUUUACCAACUGAGGAUCUCCAAAAUUUAACAAGCACUGAUUUUAAUACCUUUGAGCUUCCAUUAUCAAAAGGAUUUGCCUUUCAACUAGUAACGCUUUUUGGAUCUCCUGGAGUUCCAAUGGGUAAAUUGCUUUCAUUUACUAACAAUAAAAGGUCUAUGUGCAGUAAAUUCUUAUUUUUUUAUAUAUCAUAUAUAUAUAUAUAUAUAUAUGGAUAGAUAUUUGUCAUAUAUAUGUGUGUGUAUAUAUGUGUGUGUGUGUGUGUGUGUAUAUAUAUAUAUAUUUUUUUUUAUUUUUUAUUUAUUUUUUUGUGGUGCUGGGGAUUGAAACUAGGGCCUUGUACCUGUGAGGCAAGCACUCUACCAACUGAGCUAUAUCCCUAACCCCUGUCAUAUAUAUUUAUAUAUAAAUUUUACACAUGAAAAUUUUAAGUGUCUGUUCCAAAACCAACCAAGAGUAAAUUUAAAUGGCAAAUGGAAACUAAAAAGAAAAACAAAAAGAACCAUUUAUAGCACAAAAUAAAGCACUAAUAUUCUUUUUAAAAAAUUAUUUGCUAUCUUAUUGAAUUUGGAGAGUUCUUAUAUAUUCUGGAAACAUAUUAGAUAUAUACUUUAAAACUAUUUCCAUCUGUCUAUGGUAUCUUCUUGUCCUAUUCAUUAAGUGUCUUCUAAAGAGUAGAAGUUUUUAAUUAUGAUGAAGUCAAAUUUAUCAUUGCUAUCUUUUAUAAAUUGUGGUUUGGGUUUUAACCAAGAAAUCUUGGGGUACCCCUGGCUUAAAAAGUAUUUUUCCUAUCUUCUCCUGAAAGUGUUUCAGUUUUGGAUUUCACAUUUAUAUUUAUGAUCCAUUUUUAGUUUGUGAACAUGAUAUAAGGAAUCGAUUGAAGUUUUUCUUUUUCUAAAGUAUGGAUAUUUAGUUUUAGGACCAUUUAGUGAGAAUACUUUCCUUUCUCCACUCAAUUGAAUUUGUACCCUUAUUUAAAACAAGUUUAUGUAUACAAUUAUUUUUUUUUAAAAUUUUUCCAUAGCUUUAUUGGGGUAAAACAGAAGUCAAUAAAAUAUACAUAUUUGAAGUAUGCAAUUUGAUCAGUUUUGACAUGUAUGUAACCUAUACAAUCAAUAUUAAACUCAUUUCCAUUACUUUUUUAAAAUUUGAAAUCAUGCAGACUGUGUUUCCUGCAGUAAUAUUCUUAAUAGAAAGUGCUCUCAUAAGUCAAUAAGAAAGCAAGUAAAUUCUUAAGUUGUUUCUACCUGGUGUUAGUGAUUUCAUGUAAUUUAUUGGUUGUGUGAUAACUUUUAACCCCCAAAAUGAGGAUCCUUAGUUAAGGAACUUUGCCUUUUACAGUUCCCAUCCCUUGCCACCAGAAUAGUCUUCAUAAAUGUCAUUGAGUGCCUAAAAUAUCUGGACUCUCCAUUUAAGUAGACACUGAGAAGAAUGAAGGAUGAGGCGGACAUACAGUGACCAUGUAACAGAGAUGGGCUGCUUUAUUAUUACUUUUUUCAAACUUUCUACUUUUUACCUUUCCCUUGUUUGGCACAUGGCCCUUUUCUCAUGCACAAUUUUGGCUCCCAGAUAUGAGAUUAGUAGAGAUAGCAAAGAUUAAAUGACAAAGACGUUGGAAAUAGUUGAAUGUAUUUUUUAAAGAUUGAGAAGGGUUCUAACAAGAUUAGGAGAGAGUUCAAGUAGUUAGAAAUGUUUUCAAGUUGACUAGUUGAACUCUCUCCUAAUCUCUUAAGAAUGUUAUUUUUGGGGGCUGAGAUUGUAGUUCAGUGGUGAAGCACUUGCCUCACAUAUAUGAGGCACUGGUGCUGAUCCUCAGCACCACAUAAAAAUAAAUAAAAGUGAUAAAGGUAUUGUGUCCAUCUACAACUAAAAAUAUAUAUUUUUUAAAAAAGAAAAUAUUUUUUGAAAAUGAAAAAUCCACCUGUGAAUAAAACAAGGGAAUAUAUGAUUAUCAAUAUUCUAAGUAAAUUUAUAUUUAAUAAUAAUCAUAUUUAAGAUGCUAACUGUCCUAUAGAGGAAAUGGAACACAAAUCCCAACUUUUCCUUCUCUAUUACUCAAUACCUGAUGCUUUCCUAGUACUCUUCCUUAGGAAUAGGUUAAGAGCCAAGAAGCCAAAGUUCCAAUCCCUGGAACUUUGUUCUCCAGUUCUUUUGGAUCUUCCUGUUCUCCUUUACCUACUUGGGUUCCCACACCAUGCUCUGUCUCAAAACAUGUCCUUCCUGGUUUUUCACUUUGCCCCUAAACUUAUGAUGUUCCAGAUAAACUUGGUCUCAGGAACUCAGACCAAAAAUUGCCUAAGUCUCAGUGUGGAGGUCAUAAUUAUCAAUCUAGUUUUGAUAUUCUGAUAUCACAUUGAACAUACUUGUUACCUUUAUGAAAAACUGCAAUUUUUCUAUCCUAAUAAAUGUGCCAACAAGCAAACCAAAAAAACCCCUCGAUUUUUUAAAUUUAAAAUGCAUGAGAAGCUAAUUUUUGAGGCUUUCUCCUUGCUUUUUAAUUCUUAGCCAAGAAUAAACCUUCACUGCUAAAAAAUAAAUAUAAUGAAUAAAUAAAUGAAAUAUGUUUGUUUUGAAGAAUUUUAAGACAUUUUAGGCCAGGGAUCUUAGUUCAAGGUUUAUAUUCUGAAAUUACAUGCAAAUUUUUUUGGUAUUAUUUUGUGCCCCUUUCUUGGUGGAAGUCCAUAGAUUUUAUUAGCUUCUCCUAGAGGUCCAUGACCCAGAAAGAUUAACAGUUACUGCCUUAGAUCAGUAAGAAAAAGCAAGAAGUCACAGGUGUAAAGAUUCUAAACCUCUUCCUCUCUUGAAUCAACAAUGAUCAAGCAUCCAUUAAUUAGACUUCAAAAACUUUUUAAAGGAAAUAGACCUUAUUCAUCAAAUAGCUUACUUUCUAACUGGGGAAACAAAAAUAACAAAAUACAAUUACUGCACAUAGAAAAUAUACAUGACAAGCUUAUGAAUAUUUUAUGAGCGAGAUUAGCAGUGCUAAAGGGAUUGUUGAAGAGAAGAUGGGGUUGUGGUUUUGUUUGGGAUCCUUUCAUUAUGAAAGUGAAUUAUAAGCAGUCUUUAUACAAAAGAAAAAGAAUAUGGCUUGAAAAACAAGCAAAGAGAAAGAAUUUCACAUUUGAAAAUGGCAUGUGCUUACAAAAAGGGAGAGAAAGAAACUCUAAGUGGAGGCUGUAAACUGAUUUGCUUGGCUAAAUUGGACAAGCCAAGCCAUGAUGUAUGAUCAGUGGCCUUGUAAAUAAGGCAGGGAACUCAAAUGAAUCCUAGUAAAAGAAAAAUAAUUUUUGUGGUUUGGCAUGGCUGAUGUUGUAUGUUAUGGUUGUGUGUUAAUGUUUGGACUUGUUUAUGAGCUGCUUCAUUUUGAGGAAAAUUUCCCCCAGACACUCAUAUGGAAGAAACAAUUUUUAGGAAGACUAAAUUUGCUAUAGCUGAAAUGCUUAAUACGUGUCACAGAAAAGGAUGACUAUUUAAAUUUUAUGCCUUGAGACAGUACCACUUAAAGCUAUUAUAUAUGUGUAUGUCUUUAUGUAUAUAUAUUUGUACUUAAUGAGAGUAUGGACUAUGAUACAUAUCAUUUUAUAUAUGUACUUAAUAAGAAUUUUCUUUUAGUCUGGGUACUGUUUACUAAUAGAAGUCUGAGACGGACUCUUGAUUUAGCCAACACUGAAAUAUCUUCAAAAUCAGAGUGUUAAUGUUAUAGCAGCUUACAUUGCAUAUCUUUACAUUUAGGGUGAAAAAUCUGUGUGACAUAUGUGAUGAAAUUUGUUUCUCCUUUUUUUUUUCACAGAAUCCUUAUUACCUGAUGACUAUGUUAUUCCCCUUGACUGGAAAACACUGAAGAUGAUCUAUUUGCAAUGGAAGAUGUCAAUAGAGGUAUAUUUUUAUAGCUUUCACAGAAGAUCUUCUCUUAACUGUUUUUUUAAAACUUGAAAUCAGAACCUAGCAAGGGCCUAAAGCAACUUAGCAAGACCCUGUCUCAAAAAAUAAAAAGCCUUGGGGAUAUGGCUCAGUGGUUAAGAACCCCUGGUUUCAAUUUUCAGUACAAAAUAAAAAUUAAAAUUGGAGAAAAUCUGUUCAUCACACUUAACAGAGAAGUGCUACAUCCAUUAUAUUAAAUUAGAAGAUGGUGGGGUGUAGGGAGAAGGAAUUAUUAUUAUUUUAAUAUUAUUUAUUUAUUUAUUUAUUUUUUUAGUUUCAGCGGACACAACAUCUUUGUUUGUAUGUGGUGCUGAGGAUCGAACCUGGGCCGCACACAUGCCAGGCGAGCGCGCUACUGCUUGAGCCACAUCCCCAGCCCCAUGAAGGAAUUAUUUUAAGAGAGAGAAUUUUUAAUAUUUAUUUAUUUAUUUUUUAGUUUUCGGCAGACACAACAUCCUUGUUUGUAUAUGGUGCUGAGGAUGGAACCCGGAGCCGCACGUAUGCCAGGCGAGCGCGCUACCCCUUGAGCCACAUCCCCGGCCCAAGAAGGAAUUAUUUUAAAAACAAGAAAAAGAAUGUGUGGGGCUGGGGAUGUGGCUCAAGCUUGCUCGCUCGCGCUCUCUCUCUCUCUCUCUCUCAAAAAUUUUCUCUCUUUAAAAAUAUUUUUCUCUCUCUAAAAAAAAAAAAAAAAGAAUGUGUGGAUUAGUAGAUAAUAUAUGCAAGUUUUCUUUUAACUUGUCCCAAGAGAAAGUCGUAUUAAAUUCCCUUUGUUGAAGUGUGUGCACAUCAACACUGUGUAUGAUUAAGGUAUCCCUUUCUUCUUCAUUAUAUUUUUUCUCCUAUCCAGUCCUUAAUAUUAUCCUGUUAUAGAAUAACAGCUACAAAUUAGAUUUAUAUUUACUUGACUUGGAAGCAUCUCAUUAUUGGAGUGAUUUGUUGGUCCAUAGUGGAAGACAUGCCUAUUUUUGAGGGCUGUUCAUUUUCCAGGAGGCUGGAGGAGGACUGGCUUAGACAAUUAGAAAGAUGAUGGAUGGAAACUCUGGAAAAGCCAGUACUCUAACAUGAUGGGGGUGACGGGGGUUCUGUUUAUGUUAAUUAAUAGUGAUUUGAAUGAGCCCAGAGGCAUUGCUAGGGAUACAUUUUGAAAUAAAUAGUAAAAUGGAAGUUUAGUGAAACAUUAUAUAACUAAUAAUUUAGAAGCAUAGAUAUUUUUUACUUGUUCAUAUAAGUACUGCUGCAGUAAGCUACAUUUGUUUUGUGUUUCCAUACAGUACAAUCAAAUAUAUAUUUUUAUGCUUCUUAUUUCUCUUUAUUCUCCAUAGAGAUCUUAUUACUACUUACACACACACACACACACACACACACACAGAACAAUACUUCAAAUAUUUGUAUUGACAUUUGUGAUUGUGUUGCUGUUUUAUCAUUUUAGGAAUGUCUCUGUGUAGAGUAAAAUGACAGUGUAAACUUAACCACAAUGCCAAAUGUUUUUUUUUUUUUGCCAAAUGUUAAUCAUUAUUUUAUGUAUUUGAUAAUUUCUAGAAAAGACAGAAGAAGAUUGGUUAGAAAGAAUUCUUGAAUUGUAAGUAUUACUUAUUCCGGAGACCUAUGUAUGAUCAGAGUGAAUAUUGACGUUAUUUGGUUGUAAUAGCUCAUAUGUACCACAGUAGAAGAGUAAGAUCUAAAAAAUGCAGUUUGUUACCAUAGCAACCCUGUGUGCUAUUGCGCAUGAUGCUUUUAUUUCCUUUAAAUGUAGAUAUUUUUGUGAAAUACAACAAAGCUUAGAUUGUUGCUCCCAAAUUUAUUUUCCCACUUUAUUGGUUAGAACAUAUUUUAGAGCAUUCUCAAAACACAAAAUUUAUGAGAAAUCUCCCCCCCGGGUUGGUAUGUGACCAUGCCUAGGAAUUAAGGAUUGUAGGUUAUAUUUAAAUACGUCAGAAAUUAAAUACUUCAGAUUCAGAAAGGAGAAAAUGUAUAGACAUAUCCAUGUUAUAUUUUAAACUUGAUAUCAAGUUGACAUUAAAAUAAACACAUUGCACUUUUCCCCCCAAAUGCCUAAAUUAUGAAAUAAACACAGCUGCUACAAUUUCAGUGUAUAUGUGUCAAUUUGAUAAGAAUUGAAUGCAUUGUGAUUUACCAUAUGUUUUCUUUCUUAAUUAUAACUCUUACUUCUAAGAGUAUUCUAUAUUUUCAUUUCUCAUAUACCCAAUAAAAAUAUUUUUGUUUCCUUUAAACCUGAUUCUGCUGAAAAAAGAGGGAAAAGAACUAAAGAUUUAGGGUAAGAGUUUAGAGAUUUGGAAGGGCCACAUAUGGAUGAGAUAAGAGGUGAGGAAUUCUCAAGAAAGGAGGGGAAGACAUUCAUUCAUUUAUCCAACAGAUAUUUAUUGAGUUGCCUCAAGCCAGAUAUCGUUUUAUAUUCUGAGGAUAUGGCAGUGAAAAUAUUCCUGCUCUCCUGAAAUUUAUGUUGUAGGGAUGGAAGUUAGGAAAGGACUAUUUUCCUUCCCUAGCCUGAGAUGGCCCCAAUAUGACAAGAUAUUAGUAAAAGCAGCAUGAAUAACCAUGGCUGUGUUUGGCUAUGGUUAACUCAAGAGUCUUCUGUCUGCUAAAUUUGAAUAUUUUGUGUCAAGGACACUUUUUACACCAUAAUUUUGAUUUUGAUGUUAAUCUUCUUCAUGCAUUCCAAACUGCCCUCUACGGAAUGGACCUCACUCACAUUAAAUUCCUAAUUUUCUUUUACUUUGUCGGGACGUUUUGUGAGUGUUGUAACUAUGUGCAUUUUUUUUUUUUAAUAAUUGAGAAAGGGUCUCCCCUUUUGUGUUUGGCAUAACAUGGGUCUUAAAGGGUAAGUAGAAAUUUAGAAAGAGGGAACUAAGUAGCAGGAAAGUCCUGUUUGGCUCUGGGAGCCCCCAAGGUCUUGCCUAUUUCAAAAUGCACUCCUUGAUGGUUGCAAAAUAUUGAUAUUGUGGCACUCCUUUGUGUUGGAGGGGUGUUGGAGAGAAUGAAUUUCCAUUUUCGAACUGCUGCUGCCUAGCUGUGUGUUUUAGUUAGUUUUGUGACACUAACCAAAAGACCUGAAGAGAACAACUUAGAGGAGGAAAAGCUUAUUUUGACUUAGGGUUUCAGAAGUUCAGUUCAUAGCACUGGCCCAAGAUGAAGCAGAGCAUUGUGGUGGAAGGGCAUGGCUGAAGGAAGCUGCUCAGGAUAUGACAACCAGGAAGCAGAGGGAGAGAGUUCUGCUCACCAGGAACAAAAUAUAAACCCCAAAGGCACACCCCCAGUGAUCUUCUUCUAGCCACACCCUAUCUGCCUGUAAUUACUGCCCAGAUUCAUCUACCAAUUAAGUUAAUGCUCUUAUAACCCAGUCAUUCCACCUCUGAACAUUCUUACAUCAUCUCACAUGUGAACUUUUGGGGGAUACCUCAUAUCUAAAUUAUAACACUGUGUGAUCUUAAGCAAAUCACCUUUUUUUUUCAGAUUUUCUAUUAUUAUUUUUUUUGUACCAUACAAUUUUAUAUUUUUUUAGUCAUACAUGACAGCAGAAUGUAUUUUGACAUAUAAUACAUACAUGGAAUGUACAUACAUCAAUCAUAUUGUCUAUUCUAUUCUGCUGCCCAACAAAUUACCUUCUUAGAGCCUCAAUUUGUUUACCUAUAAAAAUAGGUUUAUAAUACCAACCUGUCAUAGAGAUAUUAAAUGAGGAAUAAAUGCAAUAACUUAUACAAAUUAUUUUUCAUGGUUCCUUCUGCUAAAUACCUCCUUGAGUGAAAGCAUUGCUAAAUGCUCCCUAGCACAGUAGAAAUUGUGUUAUCUGGGAGAGGAACUUCUGACCCAGUAAACUUGUUAAUGCAUGUGCUUGAAUUAGUGAUAUUAACUUUUUGUUAAUUAAAUAACUAGACUUCAGGGAAUAGUAUAAAGAACAAGUUUCAAUUUAGGAACAGGUGGUUGGGAAAUGUCUGUGGGAUGGGCUCAUAUAUGUGGGUAGGACCAAAUGAAGUGUGGACUGAGGGGAUGGUAUACAGUGCUAAAUGCCAGGGGAGUGCUAUAACUAGGGCAGCAAACACUGGGAAUCUGGAAACAAACUCUGUUUCUCUCAUCAUUUGUCUGGGUUUGUGUUUGUUUAUAGCUGAGUCCUCCCGUUUUCACAGUGAUUCUGAAGACCCUGAUCACCUGCUCAGCACUGACCUGAAGAACUCUUUUCAGGGAUGGACCCAUUGGAUACCAAAAGUGGUUUGGAUAAUCUGUCCAACUAUUCUUGAUAAGUUAUCUGAAUAAUAAUAAAAAACUCAACAGAAGAGGUAACCAUUUAAGUAUUUUAUUAUUAAUUUUGAAGAUGUUUGCCAUACUUUUAUGUUACAGAAGAGUAAGGUACAGAAAAUUUGAGGAACUUUUUUUUAAAAAUUGCAUCAGGAUCAGAAGUGUAGGUCUUAUAUCUGACUAUUGGCCUGAGAUUUCAUUUCUAGAAUUCUGAAAUCCCAAAAGCUCUAAAAACCAGAAUCAUUUCUGUUUUGUUUUUCCAAUUUUUUAUUGUGGUAAAAUACACAAUAAAAUUUAUCCUCUUAACCAUUCUGAAGGUAUAAUAUCCCACCAUCACCAUCAUCCAUCUCUAGAACUCUACAUUUUAUAAAACUGCAACUCUGUACCCAUCCAUUAAACAUUUCCCCAGUCUCUGUACCCUUAGCCCCUGGCAAACACUGCUUUGUUUUAAAAAAUAAGUUUAGAAUUAAAACUAAGUUGACAGCUAAGCCUGACUCAAAUUGAUUAAUUUUACUCCUGAUUUACUCCCUAUGUGGUAUGUAUUUGAGUAUAUUCAUAUAUUUUGCUUCAGAAAUAUUAAUAUAUUUAAUUAUUAGGGACUUCCCCAGAUCCCACUGGAAAUAUAAAGUUGUUCUUAUAUGUAUUACUUCAACAAGCAAACACUUUCUGAGUUCUGAAACAUAUCAGACCUCUGGGAUUUGGUUAGGGAUUGUAGGACCUACAAUAUACUAAGGUUACUAGUAUUGUUUUAUUAUUUAAAAUUCUGUUUUAGUUUAGCUGACCUUAAGAUCUGAAAAUUCAUUUUUGAAAAAUAUAAACUCAUUCAACAUUGUAGACAUUUGCUUAAAGCCCCCGUUUUCAGGAAGCGUGUUCAACCUGUCUUAAGCCCCUCUUGGAGGAUCCUUUAUCUUUACCUUCUCCAAAUGAUACCCCUGUAGGUGUGGAGGAGGGGGUGUGUGUUUGCUGGGGGGAGUAUGCUGGGAUCAAAUCUAGGCCUAGGCCUUGUGUGUGCACUACCACUCACAUGUCCCAGUCCUGAUGUCUGUUUCUUAAACAGAUUUUGAACUCUGUUUUGGUUUAGAGCCCUACCACCAUCUCCAGAUCUUCCAAUUCCUGGGAUUUAACCACUGCCUCCCCAAACCUCCCAAACUAACCUUCUUUACAUUUUAGUAUGGGAGGUUUUAAGGAGGGGGUGAAAGUUAAUGCUUAUGUUCAAUCUGCCAUCUUUAUUAAAUAUUUAUUUAUUUGCUUUGUUUAAAGUAACUCAAUAUUUUCUGUAUGUUCAUUUUAUAUACUUUCUGUAUGUUCAUCUUUUCUUGACAGAGACCCUAGUCUUCAGUGUUUGGUGGUCCUCUUCAGGCUCCUAGAGCUAUUGUGAAAGUGUACUUGACUUUGGCCCAGAAUGUGAUUGUUUUAGCACAGAUCUGACUGGUAUUAGUGUUGUGACAUAUUCUGCAUUACUGUUUUUUUUUCUUGUUUGUCUUCCCCUAAUGUCUUCCUCAGGCUUCUAGAGGAAGGAUGAGGAAAGAGCCAGGAGGGAAGCAGAAUCAGGGGAAGGGGAAGGACAGCCAAUCAGGAGUGGGACUUUGGCAUUUGACAAAUUAUUGCUUUCUUAUAUACUUUCAACAGGAAAGCAUCUGAGGCUUUCUGGUUAAUAUAUUAGAAUCUGCAUCAUCAUAACUAUACCUAAGGAUAGUAUUAGAAAUAUUUAAUGAUGGGUAUGUUGUGGGCAGUGACCAGUUAUGGAGCACCUUUAUGCUGUGCUGAUGUAUAUAUAUAUCCAGGCUUAUACUUGGGUAUAGCAUGCCCCAGCUUUCUACAACUAUCUCCCGCUUUUAUUGCCUUUCCCUAAUUUCUGGAAUGGAGCUUUAGAGAAAUGGGUUUGGGCUAUUUUUCCUCCUUCCAGGCUCCCUCCAUGAAGCUUAAACCAAAUGUCCCUGUGCAUAGUGGCAAUAUUAGAUGCUGUGGAAUUGGAAGGUAAUGGUCCUUCCCAUAGGGGAAGUCUCUGUUAUAAGAGUGAAAUAUGGAAUUCAGAAGUAAGUGUGUGCGUGUGUGUGCGCGCGCGUGCACUCGUGCAUGUGUGUAUGGUGUAUGUGUGUGUCUUGGGGGUGUGGGUAUGUUAUCAAAACCAGACUUAGCCAAAGGAGAUUUCUGUACUGGCAGAUUUAUCCAUUAGUUUUUCUUACCUCCCCUUCUCCUUCUCUUCCUUCUUCUUUUUUUUUUUUUUUUUUGAGAUAGGGUCUCAUUAUACUCUCAAAUAACUGGGACUACAGGUGUACACCACUGCACCUGACUUCAAGUUUAUUUUCUUUAUGUCCAUAAUAGUAAUGGUUUCUAGUGUACAAAGGUGAGAUGUGGCAGUCGUUACAUGAUAGAAAAAUGGACCCUAGAGCUGAAAAGCUGGUUAUGUAAACAGAGUUUACUAAUGAGUGUUUUAUUAUAAGUAUUCUCUAAAAGGUAUCCACCUAUCUGGAGACUGUCACAUAGUUGGACUGUGGAGUUGUCCAUCAGAUGAUCUGAAAACAGCUAACAGCAAGGCUGUUCUCAGAUCUGUAAGAUUACGAUUACUUACUCUGUUUAUUCCUCACCUGACACUAUAUACUAUCUGGUUCAGUGUUUUUUUUUUUUUUUUUUUUUUGUGGUGCUGCAGGUUGAAUCUACAGUGUCAUGUAUUCUAGGCAAGUGUUUUACCAUUGAGCUAUACCCCAGACCUCCNAUUAAGCCCAAAAGAAAGUGUCUGGGAUCACUUCCAGGUACUGCUGACCGUUUUCUUCUCCUUGAAACUCUCUCCCUCUGAGCUUCCAAACACCUAUGUUAGUGUUCAGUCUACACUGCUGAUCAUUCCCUCAUCUCACCUUCUCUGGAUCUGCUUCAAGGGCACAGUCCUUAAAUGCUGGUACCCUCAGCUGUCUGUUUCUAUUCAUAGGGGCCAGAAUUUUCAAAGCUCUGUUUCCAGCUCACCUUUCUCUUUUGAGCAAUACCUCAUAUUUCCCACCAUCUAUCAGGUAACUCCACCUGUCAGAUACAUUGCACGAUCAGUGUAUCAGAACCUCUUGCUUCCAAAGCUGCAUGUCUUCCUGCUGCCAUGACACAGCCUGAGACCUCCCCCGCCCCCGCAGAGGAGAAUAGUAAUACAGUAGAUAAGAAGUCUCAUGUAGCACUGUCUAAAAGAAAUAUAAUGCCAAACACAUAUAUAACUUAUACUUUAUAGUAACCACAAUAAAACAGUGAAAAGAAACAGAUAAAGUUUUAAUGUUAAUCCAUUAUAUCCAAUGUAUUAUCACUUCAGUGUGUAAUCAAUAUAAAAAUCAAUGAGUUGGGCUCAGUGGCCCAUGCCUGUAAUCCCAGCUGAGAUUGGGAAGCUGAGGCAGGAGGAAUACAAGUUCAAAGCUGGCUUCAGCAAAAUCAAGGUGCUAAGCAACUCAGUGUGACUCUGUCUCUAAAUAAAAUACAAAAUAGGGCUGGGGAUGUGGCUCAGUGGUUGAGUGCCCCUGAGUUCAAUCCCUGGUACUAAAAAUAAAUAAAUAAAUAAAAUUAUUAAUGAGAUUUUUUUUUUCAUUUGGAACCUUAGGAAUUCAUUGCCUAUAUUAAUCUUAAUUUGCACUAGCUACAUUUUAAAUGCCCAGUUGACAAGACUUGGAGCUCCUGUAUUGGAUAAAGAAGAUCUAGAUGAAAAAGGUGGUAUUAAGGCUGGGCAAAACACUUUUUUUUUUGUAUUUAUUUAUUUUUUUUUGAAGUCUAUAUUUUUUAUUAGUUGUUCAAAACAUUACAAAGCUUUUGACAUAUCAUAUUUCAUACAUUUGAUUCAAGUGGGUUAUGAACUCCCAUUUUUACCCUGUAUACAGAUUGCAGAAUCACAUCGGUUACACAUCCACGUUUUUACAUACUGCCAUACUAGUGUCUGUUGUAUUCUGCUGCCUUUCUAUCCUCUACGAUAUCUUCCCUCCCCACCCCUCCCCUCCCAUCUUCUGGCAAAACACUUUUGUACAAAGUAAAAACUGGGGGUGCAGCUCAGUUAUAGAGCUCCUGCUUUGUAUGCAAGAUGCCCUAGGUUCAAUCCCAGCAACCCCUCUAAAAAAUAUAAUAGGGAUAUAUAGAUUAUAAAUGUCACUAUUGUUAUGAUUCAUGUAUAUUUUCUGUUCUUUGUAGUUCCCCCUAAUAUUUAGAGAAGCCUUUGCAAUUCCAUGGUUUCUUAGCAGUACUAAGAAGAAUCAAGAAAAUAUAUGUCCUGGGCUAGUUUUGUGGUAGAAUACUUGCCUGGCAUGUGCCAGACUUUGGGUUUGAUCUCCAGCACUCCCACCCCCACGAUACUUCUUCCAUGCUGGGAAGGCAUAUUUUCCCCCAAGGGAGAACAGUUCAUCCUCCUCCCUCACUUACUCUUCCCCCACCCUCAGAGGGGAAAUCCCAAGGGGGAAUCCCAAGGGGAGGUGAAGUUCCCAGAACACAGCCCCUCCCGAUUUGGACAGCCCCUUCCUGAAACUAACUCUGGAAUUUCUGGAUUUUGGUUUAGAAGGAAAUCACUUCC
RNAcentral lists this long non-coding RNA (14446 nucleotides) under Marmota monax (woodchuck). The stretch from base 13922 to 13992 matches the Rfam family "tRNA". Lineage: Eukaryota; Metazoa; Chordata; Mammalia; Rodentia; Sciuridae. The record is from RNAcentral.